Molecule: long non-coding RNA, 792 nt
Organism: Dreissena polymorpha
Lineage: Eukaryota; Metazoa; Mollusca; Bivalvia; Myida; Dreissenidae
Exons: 2
Source: RefSeq, a predicted model, not a curated record
GAACAUUGAACAACAAGUCCCAAUUUAUCUUACUUUGCCUUAAUAUGGUACACGGAUGGGAGUAGUUUACCAUCAUUUGCUUUUUUAGGUCUUAUUUUUUACUUGAAAUAAUCAAGUUUUGAUUAUGCGUGUUCGACUAGGCGGGUGAUUUCCAUAUUUCUCAAUUUAAUUUACUGAUUGGCUGAAAUUAUUUUCAAUGUGUGCAUGAAUCAGCGGGUGAUUUCCAAUAUUUUUUAGGGUAAUUCACUGAUUGGCUGAAAGUAAUUCAUACAUACGAGGCUCAGUGACGGUGUAUAUUUUAGCGACCAGAAUACAUUUGUGAAAUAAUUUGGUGUAUGAUUAAAUCAGUGAAAUACUCAUUUCAAUUAAGUAUCAGGACGUCUGCAAUAUUGCAAUAUUCGGGAUGACUGAACAACAUUCUUGAGUACAUCAGGAUGGCAUAGACGCAUCAACGCACAAGCGUGUUCCGCAAACCUUGGUCUGUACAAGUUGGCCAACCUUCUCAGAGAGGAAUCUGAGACAGUUGAUCUUCAGAUACGGCUGGUGAGCCAGCACCUUCUCACGAAGAUCAGACGGAAGAAAUAUGUUGCGAUACACGGCAGACUACAUCAAACAUGGGAUGACUACGAAGAGGAGAAGCUGACAACCACUGAUCUACUGAGGAUCAUCAGCCAUAUCAAUGCCCUGGGACCAUCCACGGCGGUCCACCACAUGCUCGACGACGACGAGUUUUGAACGAUGUGAAUGACUGAUAUUGUUGAAAUGUCACAUUAAAUUGUACUGUGUCAUAAA